CCAACGGCCCUCUUUAGGGCCACAAAUCUUAUAAUCCUAUGUUAUU
Molecule: non-coding RNA, 46 nt
Organism: Caenorhabditis elegans
Lineage: Eukaryota; Metazoa; Nematoda; Chromadorea; Rhabditida; Rhabditidae
Source: Rfam